This 661-nucleotide long non-coding RNA is filed under the name Nicotiana benthamiana. RNAcentral describes it as "long non-coding RNA (NBEN_LNC039230)". Lineage: Eukaryota; Viridiplantae; Streptophyta; Magnoliopsida; Solanales; Solanaceae. The record is from RNAcentral.
GAAUAGAAAAAAAGCUCAAGAGUUUAAAAGAAAAAAUAAAGACUGGUCUUUGAAUUGGAAAAAAGUUAGUUUUAUUCUAAAAAAUAUAGAGUGUUAAGGCUGGAAUUCUUACUCUUGGAGAUUCAGUUAGUUAUUGAGUGUUAAGGCUGGUUCUUUAAAACUUAGAAGGUCAGUUUACUUCUAUAGAUUCUAAGCAAUAAAAUCAGUGUUCUGUGAGCUUUUCCUGGAAGUUCUUGGUUGAGUACUGUUGCAUUGAGUUCCUGGGUUUUCCCACUUGGUUUCAUCUUUCCUGCGAUUUCUGCUACUGUUCGCUACUGGUUUUACUGAUUGUUGUUGUGCUGCUGUGUUGCUGUGUUGCUACUGUUGUUCAUCCACUGAUCUUCCUCUUCUUCUUUUUGCCUUCCAAAUACCAGGUAUACAAAUAAUACACUUGUUCAAUGUAAGCUAAAAUUUGAAGCAUGAAUGAAUGAAGAGUUGAAGUUGUUUUGAAUUCUUUUUAGUUGUAUAUUGAACCUUAAGCUGCAUACAUAUAAUAGUUCAUGUCUUCUACUAGAAUCAUGUAGGUGUGAGCUACGUAUAACUAAACAAUAUUCUGUAGUAGUUUAGUUGUAAACUUCCUCCCUUGUAUGCUUAGUUAAAAUAGAUUGAUAUUGUAGAAACC